Molecule: ribosomal RNA, 253 nt
Filed under: uncultured bacterium
Lineage: Bacteria
Description: partial 16S ribosomal RNA
Rfam family: Bacterial small subunit ribosomal RNA
Source: RNAcentral
UACGUAGGGUGCGAGCGUUAAUCGGAAUUACUGGGCGUAAAGCGUGCGCAGGCGGCGCGUUAAGACAGGUGUGAAAGCCCCGGGCUCAACCUGGGAAUGCCAUUCGAGACUGCAUAGCUAGGGUGCGGAAGAGGGAAGCGGAAUUUCCGGUGUAGCGGUGAAAUGCGCAGAUAUCAGGAGGAACACCAAUUGCGAAGGCAGCUCGCUGGGACGUGACUGACGCUGAGACGCGAAAGCGUGGGGAGCAAACAGG